Molecule: microRNA precursor, 90 nt
Organism: Ananas comosus (pineapple)
Lineage: Eukaryota; Viridiplantae; Streptophyta; Magnoliopsida; Poales; Bromeliaceae
Rfam family: mir-393 microRNA precursor family
Source: Rfam
AGAGGAAGCAUCCAAAGGGAUCGCAUUGAUCCUGUUCCGACCGAGGGAUCAAAGAAGACUGGAUCAUGCGAUCCUUUCGGAUACUUCCUC